UGCAAGUCGAACGGCAGCGCGGACUUCGGUCUGGCGGCGAGUGGCGAACGGGUGAGUAAUGCAUCGGAACGUGCCCAGUAGCGGGGGAUAACUACGCGAAAGCGUAGCUAAUACCGCAUACGCCCUACGGGGGAAAGGGGGGGAUCGCAAGACCUCUCACUAUUGGAGCGGCCGAUGUCGGAUUAGCUAGUUGGUGGGGUAAAGGCCUACCAAGGCGACGAUCCGUAGCUGGUUUGAGAGGACGACCAGCCACACUGGGACUGAGACACGGCCCAGACUCCUACGGGAGGCAGCAGUGGGGAGAUUUUGGACAAUGGGGGCAACCUGAUCCAGCCAUGCCGCGUGUGCGAAGAAGGCUUCGGGUGUAAAGCACUUUCGGCAGGAAAGAAACGGCGCCGGGCUAAUAUCUGGCGUAACUGACGGUACCUGCAGAAUAAGCACUGGCUAACUACGUGCCAGCAGCCGCGGUAAUACGUAGGGUGCAAGCGUUAAUCGGAAUUACUGGGCGUAAAGCGUGCGCAGGCGGUUCGGAAAGAAAGAUGUGAAAUCCCAGGGCUCAACCUUGGAACUGCAUUUUUAACUCCCGAACUAGAGUGUGUCAGAGGGGGGGUGGAAUUCCACGUGUAGCAGUGAAAUGCGUAGAUAUGUGGAGGAACACCGAUGGCGAAGGCAGCCCCCUGGGAUAACACUGACGCUCAUGCACGAAAGCGUGGGGAGCAAACAGGAUUAGAUACCCUGGUAGUCCACGCCCUAAACGAUGUCAACUAGCUGUUGGGUUCUUCGGAGCUUGGUAGCGCAGCUAACGCGUGAAGUUGACCGCCUGGGGAGUACGGUCGCAAGAUUAAAACUCAAAGGAAUUGACGGGGACCCGCACAAGCGGUGGAUGAUGUGGAUUAAUUCGAUGCAACGCGAAAAACCUUACCUACCCUUGACAUGUCUGGAAUCCCGAAGAGAUUUGGGAGUGCUCGAAAGAGAACCGGAACACAGGUGCUGCAUGGCCGUCGUCAGCUCGUGUCGUGAGAUGUUGGGUUAAGUCCCGCAACGAGCGCAACCCUUGUCAUUAGUUGCUACGAAAGGGCACUCUAAUGAGACUGCCGGUGACAAACCGGAGGAAGGUGGGGAUGACGUCAGGUCCUCAUGGCCCUUAUGGGUAGGGCUUCACACGUCAUACAAUGGUCGGGACAGAGGGCAGCCAACCCGCGAGGGGGAGCCAAUCCCAGAAACCCGAUCGUAGUCCGGAUUGCAGUCUGCAACUCGACUGCAUGAAGUCGGAAUCGCUAGUAAUCGCGGAUCAGCAUGUCGCGGUGAAUACGUUCCCGGGUCUUGUACACACCGCCCGUCACACCAUGGGAGUGGGUUCUACCAGAAGUAGGUAGCCUAACCGCAAGGAGGGCGCU
Molecule: ribosomal RNA, 1397 nt
Filed under: Pigmentiphaga sp. NJUST35
Lineage: Bacteria; Pseudomonadati; Pseudomonadota; Betaproteobacteria; Burkholderiales; Alcaligenaceae
Description: bacterial SSU rRNA
Rfam family: Bacterial small subunit ribosomal RNA
Source: RNAcentral